GAUCAUGGCUCANAUUGAACGCUGGCGGCAUGCUUUACACAUGCAAGUCGAACGGCAGCACAGGGAGCUUGCUCCCGGGUGGCGAGUGGCGCACGGGUGAGUAAUACAUCGGAACGUGUCCUAUUGUGGGGGAUAACUGCUCGAAAGGGUGGCUAAUACCGCAUGAGACCUGAGGGUGAAAGCGGGGGAUCGCAAGACCUCGCGCAAUUGGAGCGGCCGAUGCCCGA
RNAcentral lists this ribosomal RNA (227 nucleotides) under uncultured bacterium. RNAcentral's name for it is "partial 16S ribosomal RNA". It matches the Rfam family "Bacterial small subunit ribosomal RNA", at positions 15 to 240 of the family's 1533-position model. The record is from RNAcentral.